AAAAAAAGAAGUAUUAUUUACCUAAAAUCUGAAAUCCACAACAGAAGCUAGCCAGAAGUUAGCCAGUUCACUAGCUAACGUUAGAAUUCAGCUAACCACGGUUGGCGGUCAUCAGCUAUCCCUUAGCUCGAAAAGCUAUCGGCAGUUUUGUACAACGCGACUCAGACCAGAGCAUACCGGACCUAUUUUCUCUCCAUAUCCCCGGAUUUGUACCGCAAGCUCUGGACAUUUACACCUGAAUCUUGCAGCUAGCUAGCUGCUAUCCAAGUGACUAUUGGCUAACGUCGGUCCUGGAGCUAACAUCUAUUAUUCCGGAGCUAGCCAGCUGAAGAGUUCCAUCAGCCACUCCUGGGCUACAAUCACCUAUCCGGACCCGUUUUACUACCGAUGCGGAGCCCCAUCGGGCCUUCACGACUGGACAACCAACGUUAUCUGCCCGAGGGAGUUAUCCAACUGGCCCCUCCGUCGCGACGUAAACCUGAACGCCCAUCUGCGGCCAGCUAAUCGUUAGCUGUUGUAUCGGCUGCUAUCUGAAUAGGUCUAUCGGCCAAUUUUCUUGGGCCACUAUAACUAUUUUGCCAAUUGGAUUGGUCCCCUCUACCACACGGAACCCUACUAAUCUACCGACGGAAACACACGAGGUGUCUAAUAACAGACCAUCUUCUAUCAGCUUGCUACCCAUGGCCCGGCUAGCUGUCUGAAUCGCCGUGUCCGCAACCGACCUCACUACUCACUGGACCCCUUUGAUCACUUGGCUAAGCAUGCCUCUCCUUAAUGUCAAUAUGCCUUGUCCAUUGCUGUUCUGCACACUCUGCCAACCCGGAUGUCCUAGCCGUGUCUGAAUCCUGGCUUAGGAAGACCACCAAAAGCUCUGAAAUCUCCAUCCCUAACUACAAUAUUUUCAGACAAGAUAGAACGGCCAAAGGGGGCGGUGUUGCAAUCUACUGCAGAGAUAGCCUGCAGAGUUCUGUCCUACUAUCCAGGUCUGUACCCAAACAAUUUGAACUUCUACUUUUAAAAAUCCACCUCUCUAAACACAAGUCUCUCACCGUUGCCGCCUGCUAUAGACCACCCUCUGCCCCCAGCUGUGCUCUGGACACCAUAUGUGAACUGAUUGCCCCCCAUCUAUCUUCAGAGCUCGUGCUGCUAGGUGACCUAAACUGGGACAUGCUUAACAGCCCAGCCAUCCUACAAUCUAAGCUUGAUGCCCUCAAUCUCACACAAAUGAUCAAUGAACCUACCAGGUACCACCCCAAAGCCGUAAACACGGGCACCCUCAUAGAUAUCAUCCUAACCAACUUGCCCUCUAAAUACACCUCUGCUGUUUUCAACCAAGAUCUCAGCGAUCACUGCCUCAUUGCCUGCAUCCGUAAUGGGUCAGCGGUCAAACAACCUCCACUCAUCACUGUUAAACGCUCCCUGAAACACUUCAGCGAGCAGGCCUUUCUAAUCGACCUGGCCUGGGUAUCCUGGAAGGAUAUUGACGUCAUCCCUUCAGUAGAGGAUGCCUGGUUAUUUUUUUUAAAUGCCUUCCUCAACAUCUUAAAUAAGCAUGCCCCAUUCAAGAAAUUUAGAACCAGGAACAGACAUAGCCCUUGGUUCUCUCCAGACCUGACUG
RNAcentral lists this long non-coding RNA (1618 nucleotides) under Salmo salar (Atlantic salmon). RNAcentral's name for it is "lncRNA (ENSSSAG00000008643.2)". Lineage: Eukaryota; Metazoa; Chordata; Actinopteri; Salmoniformes; Salmonidae. The record is from RNAcentral.